Molecule: ribosomal RNA, 484 nt
Filed under: uncultured bacterium
Lineage: Bacteria
Description: partial 16S ribosomal RNA
Rfam family: Bacterial small subunit ribosomal RNA
Source: RNAcentral
AUUGAACGCUGGCGGCAUGCUUUACACAUGCAAGUCGAACGGCAGCGCGGGCUUCGGCCUGGCGGCGAGUGGCGAACGGGUGAGUAAUACAUCGGAACGUGCCCAGUAGAGGGGGAUAGCUCGGCGAAAGCCGGAUUAAUACCGCAUACGACCUGAGGGUGAAAGCGGGGGAUCUUCGGUCCUCGCGCUUUUUGAGCGGCCGAUGGCAGAUUAGCUAGUUGGUGGGGUAAAGGCCUACCAAGGCGACGAACUGUAGCUGGUCUGAGAGGACGACCAGCCACACUGGGACUGAGACACGGCCCAGACUCCUACGGGAGGCAGCAGUGGGGAAUUUUGGACAAUGGGCGAAAGCCUGAUCCAGCAAUGCCGCGUGUGUGAUGAAGGCCUUCGGGUUGUAAAGCACUUUUGGCGGGAACGAAAAGGACUGUGCCAAUACCACGGUUCGAUGACGGUACCCGCAGAAUAAGCACCGGCUAACUACGUG